AAUCAGAAAGAAAACUAUAGUUUAUUUCUCAACUACUAGUAGGCCCCUGAGAAACCUCUUACCUUGUGAGCAUUGGUGGUUCAGUGGUAGAAUUCUCGCCUGCCACGCGGGAGGCCCGGGUUCGAUUCCCGGCCAAUGCAUCGAAAACUCCGUUUUUAUUUUUAAAUACAAUGAAGUCAAUGAAAACACCACAUUUAAUAAAGACUUUUUACAACUGUUAGAGUAACACAAAAAUUAAUUUUAUUUUCUGUUUUCCUUUGUUCCUUAUGUUUUACAGCCACCGAGCAUCUCAUUUUAAUUCUUUUUUGGAGGUGGGGUUUUUCUCUGUAUUUACAAGCCAUGAAUUCUCUCAUGAAGAGAGAAAAUGAUUCCGUUUCAGUACUUCUGAUUUUGAAGGAAAUACCUAAAUAUUUUUUGGAAAACAUAAAAAUUACAGCUUAUUGGAGAUGCCGGGGAUUGAACCCGGGACCUCACACAUGCGAAGCGCGCGCUCUACCACUGAGCUACAUCCCCAAGCUGCUGGAAAUAGCUCUGCUCAGUGUAUUCAUUCAUUUCUAGAUAGGGCGACGUGUUGUACGGUUGAUUAAGGCAGCCUUUCUUCGCAUCCCGAGGACGUUUGUUUCCCUCCCCCACAUAUCUUGGAACUGACAGCUUCGGGGGCUCCUCUAUCUACCGGUGUAAGGGGAGAGCUCGCGGGCACGCGCAGUGGAGGAAGACGCGGGCGGCCGAGAGAAGAGAGAAGGGGAAUCCCGGCCUACUUUCAUUUCCGGAUGGGGGCGACCUCUUUGUGCGAACCAGGGAGCGUGACCCGCACAUCUGGUGCACAUCUGGGGAUGCGGCUGCGAGAGGGAACGCGGCGGCGGGGGCAACAUCGGCGGAGAAGACUACAGAGCAUCAGGGCGGGUGGGAGGCCCUGGCAGGUAAUGUAUCUGAGGGGGUGGGAUGGGGGUGGUGGGAAGAGUAUCUGGGUAUCGUAGACGGUGGGGGCAGCCUCCAUUUCCCACCUUCCCAUCCCAGCUCUUCCCCCCUACCCCUUGGAAACCGCCAUUCACCACUAUGUGAAGAAAGAAACUUCUCUUACACGACUGAAUCGAGUUCACCUCCUGAGAGGAAAAGAUUAAUGCAUAUCCUCCUCCUGCUGCUCUCCUACCCCCCUCCCCCGUCCACUCCUUCCCCUCCUCCACCUUGUCGUUCCCCUCCCCCCCAAGCAUGUGGAAGAUGCAGCCACUUUCUAUCCCUUGUUAAGGUUGUCUGA
This 1255-nucleotide transfer RNA is filed under the name Monodelphis domestica (gray short-tailed opossum). RNAcentral's name for it is "lncRNA (ENSMODG00000046738.1)". The stretch from base 70 to 140 matches the Rfam family "tRNA". Lineage: Eukaryota; Metazoa; Chordata; Mammalia; Didelphimorphia; Didelphidae. The record is from RNAcentral.